RNAcentral lists this ribosomal RNA (223 nucleotides) under uncultured Rhodobacterales bacterium. RNAcentral describes it as "partial 16S ribosomal RNA". It matches the Rfam family "Bacterial small subunit ribosomal RNA", at positions 1138 to 1382 of the family's 1533-position model. The record is from RNAcentral. Lineage: Bacteria; Pseudomonadati; Pseudomonadota; Alphaproteobacteria; Rhodobacterales.
CUCUAGAAGAACUGCCGGUGCUAAGCCGGAGGAAGGUGGGGAUGACGUCAGGUCCUCAUGGCCCUUACGGGUAGGGCUACACACGUGCUACAAUGGCGCUGACAGAGGGUUAAUCCCUAAAAGGCGUCUCAGUUCGGAUUGUCCUCUGCAACUCGAGGGCAUGAAGUUGGAAUCGCUAGUAAUCGCGGAUCAGCAUGCCGCGGUGAAUACGUUCCCGGGCCUU